RNAcentral lists this transfer RNA (72 nucleotides) under Dipodomys ordii (Ord's kangaroo rat). It matches the Rfam family "tRNA". Rfam says of the family: Transfer RNA (tRNA) molecules are approximately 80 nucleotides in length. Their secondary structure includes four short double-helical elements and three loops (D, anti-codon, and T loops). The record is from Rfam by way of RNAcentral. Lineage: Eukaryota; Metazoa; Chordata; Mammalia; Rodentia; Heteromyidae.
GGUGAUGCAGUUCAGUGGUAGAGCAUUUGCCUAGCAUGCAUAAAGCCCUGAGUUCAAGCCUUAGAAUUGCCC